UACGAAGGGGGCUAGCGUUGUUCGGAAUUACUGGGCGUAAAGCGCACGUAGGCGGAUAUUUAAGUCAGGGGUGAAAUCCCGGAGCUCAACUCCGGAACUGCCUUUGAUACUGGGUAUCUGGAGUAUGGAAGAGGUGAGUGGAAUUCCGAGUGUAGAGGUGAAAUUCGUAGAUAUUCGGAGGAACACCAGUGGCGAAGGCGGCUCACUGGUCCAUUACUGACGCUGAGGUGCGAAAGCGUGGGGAGCAAACAGG
Molecule: ribosomal RNA, 253 nt
Filed under: uncultured bacterium
Lineage: Bacteria
Description: partial 16S ribosomal RNA
Rfam family: Bacterial small subunit ribosomal RNA
Source: RNAcentral